GCCAAUGAUGUCUUUACUCACGAUGGUCUUCCAAGCUUCCUCGAGGCUUUGACGAUACUGCCAAAUGGCAUAGCUGAUGGCAAGCU
Molecule: small nucleolar RNA, 86 nt
Organism: Spea bombifrons (plains spadefoot toad)
Lineage: Eukaryota; Metazoa; Chordata; Amphibia; Anura; Pelobatidae
Product: small nucleolar RNA SNORD35
Exons: 1
Source: RefSeq, a predicted model, not a curated record